This is a long non-coding RNA of Cyprinodon variegatus (sheepshead minnow), 1530 nucleotides long. RefSeq lists it as uncharacterized. The record is from RefSeq and is a predicted model, not a curated record. NCBI's taxonomy places the organism in Eukaryota, Metazoa, Chordata, Actinopteri, Cyprinodontiformes, Cyprinodontidae. The transcript has 4 exons.
GUGGUUGAAUUUGAAGAAAAUGUAGAAAACUACAAAGCUGGAACUAAGUGGUUCUGUCAUUUAAUCUUUGGACAGGUUUGGACAAAGGCUCUGGACCUUAUUACAAAGCUAUCGGAGGGUGUUUGAUUGUUGUGGUGUUCUGCUUCGUGACUUUUUUACCAAUUUCCUGGCACAGAAGAACAAAACAGAACAGAAGGCUUCAAAAUGUGGAAAAAAAUGGAACCCAAAGAAGAAUUACUCAGAAUGAAGAAUAUCCUCUGCUGCAAAGAAACACUGAAGAGAAGACAUGUAACCAGAGAAAACCCAUAAAGCAAAUUUCAACACCAGAAGCGUCAUCACCACCUGAUUUUGAAGGCUUUCCAUAUAAAGAUAGACUUAAAAGAUUGAAAAAAACAAAAUCUUUUUAAAAUAUUUAUUUGUGAAAUGCACAAUGGUAAGCUUCCCACAGUGCAUGUAGACACUGUGGUGGGGGUGAGGUUUAGAACUAAAGUUGAAUUGAGUUUAGUUUAGGGUUAGGUAGGUGUUGGUAAUAGUUAGGGUAAGGGUCUGGAUUAGGCAAUAUAAGUUAGUGGGAAAUGAACUGAAGUCAAUAGAAAGUGCCUACAAGGCUAGUGUGACACAAAAUGUUGAAGCUAUAACAUUAAAUAAAUCAGAUAAUAAAUCUAUAGCAGACUCCCAAACUGUAGGUUUCAUGAAAAGCUCAAGCUGUGAAAAAAAAAGAAAAAAAAAAGAUUGAUACUGAAGGCAAACAGCCUCAUGCUGUCUCUAGAGUUAUGUCUGAGGAUGUGUUUUUAACCAGAUGUGUGCCCCUUUCAGAAGCGCUGCGAUCUGUAACGCUUAGCAAAUUCUCUGGUCUGAGUAACAUUACAAUUUAUGUCAAAUCCUGUUGUCAUCAUGGUUAUUUGAUACGUAUAGAUUAUGAAUUGUUAUUUAAAGAGUUUGUCCCAAGUUAUCUCUUCUUGAGAAAAGAACCAGAGAGAGAAUGCUGAAAGGUGUAAACGCAAAGCUUUCCUUUACCUUCAUUGAGUCACUUUGCUGUUUCCACCAAUCCUCUGUUACAAAGGACGAUGACCACUUUAUUGUUUGCUGCAAUGUCAAGUACCGUUGUCCCUUCCUUGUCAUUCAAGCCACUAAAUAAGGUAAACAUGCCCACUGUUAUAUUCAACACUAGCAAAGGAAUAACGUGAAGUUACGCAAUAACAGUAUAUCAGGAAACAAGCGUAGCGCUAACGUCUGCUGGGAUGGUGACCUCAUCUGCCGAAAUUAAACUGUUCUGUUUACUGUGCUAAUAAUGACUGAAAUAUAGAAUUUAUUCUCAUAGAAGCUUUUCAAUGGGUUUAGUAAAAUCUACCAAAUCUAUUUUUGCUGCAUUGUAUUUUAACCAGAUGUGGAGAUUAAAACAAAACUGUUGCAUGAAGACUUAAAUUCAUGAGUGACAGACUCUAUUGGAGGACCAGAAAUCAUAUUUUUUAUGAUUUAUUUUUAUGAAUCUUUAUUUCUUUUGUCACUGUACGUUUUGUUUUAAAUAAA